This 28-nucleotide small RNA is filed under the name Bombyx mori (domestic silkworm). RNAcentral describes it as "ovarian small RNA-22377". The record is from RNAcentral. Lineage: Eukaryota; Metazoa; Arthropoda; Insecta; Lepidoptera; Bombycidae.
UAGCCGCAACUGUUCGGGCAUGCCCCUC